AUGAACGCUGGCGGCGUGCCUAAUACAUGCAAGUCGAGCGAACAGACGAGGAGCUUGCUCCUCUGACGUUAGCGGCGGACGGGUGAGUAACCCGUGGAUAACCUACCUAUAAGACUGGGAUAACUUCGGGAAACCGGAGCUAAUACCGGAUAAUAUAUUGAACCGCUUGGUUCAAUAGUGAAAGACGGUUUUGCUGUCACUUAUAGAUGGAUCCGCGCCGCAUUAGCUAGUUGGUAAGGUAACGGCUUACCAAGGCGACGAUGCGUAGCCGACCUGAGAGGGUGAUCGGCCACACGGGAACGGAGACACGGACCAGACGCCUACGGGAGGCAGCAGUAGGGAAUCUGCCGCAAUGGGCGAAAGCCUGACGGAGCAACGCCGCGUGAGUGAUGAAGGUCUUCGGAUCGUAAAACUCUGUUAUUAGGGAAGAACAAAUGUGUAAGUAACUAUGCACGUCUUGACGGUACCUAAUCAGAAAGCCACGGCUAACUACGUG
This 496-nucleotide ribosomal RNA is filed under the name uncultured bacterium. RNAcentral describes it as "partial 16S ribosomal RNA". It matches the Rfam family "Bacterial small subunit ribosomal RNA", at positions 29 to 507 of the family's 1533-position model. The record is from RNAcentral.